GACGAACGCUGGCGGCGUGCUUAACACAUGCAAGUCGAACGAGGUCUUCGGACCGAGUGGCGAACGGGUGAGUAACACGUGAGAAACCUGCCCUGGAGACCGGGAUAAACACUCCGAAAGGAUUGCUAAUACCGGAUGUCCCCAUCGGAUCGCAUGGUCUGAUGAGGAAAUGGAUUCCGCUCCAGGAGGGUCUCGCGGCCUAUCAGCCUUGUUGGUGGGGUAACGGCCCACCAAGGCGUCGACGGGUAGCUGGUCUGAGAGGAUGAUCAGCCACACUGGGACUGAGACACGGCCCAGACUCCUACGGGAGGCAGCAGUGGGGAAUUUUGGACAAUGGGGGAAACCCUGAUCCAGCCAUGCCGCGUGCGGG
This 370-nucleotide ribosomal RNA is filed under the name uncultured bacterium. RNAcentral describes it as "bacterial SSU rRNA". It matches the Rfam family "Bacterial small subunit ribosomal RNA", at positions 28 to 407 of the family's 1533-position model. The record is from RNAcentral.